AAUAUUGCGCAAUGGAGGGAACUCUGACGCAGCGACGCCGCGUGAGCGAUGAAGGUCNNNGGAUCNUCAAACUCUGUCAUUGGNGACNAAUAAAUGACGGUACCCAUGGAGGAAGCCCCGGCUAACUACGUGCCAGCAGCCGCGGUAAUACGUAGGGGGCAAGCGUUGUCCGGAAUUAUUGGGCGUAAAGGGUGCGUAGGCGGCCCUUUAAGUCAGAUGUGAAAGCCCACGGCUUAACCGUGGGGCUGCAUUUGAAACUGGAGGGCUUGAGUGUCGGAGAGGGCAGUGGAAUUCCCAGUGUAGCGGUGGAAUGCGUAGAUAUUGGGAGGAACACCAGUGGCGAAGGCGACUGCCUGGACGAUAACUGACGCUGAGGCACGAAAGCUAGGGGAGCAAACA
RNAcentral lists this ribosomal RNA (399 nucleotides) under uncultured bacterium. RNAcentral describes it as "partial 16S ribosomal RNA". It matches the Rfam family "Bacterial small subunit ribosomal RNA", at positions 360 to 774 of the family's 1533-position model. The record is from RNAcentral.